AGUGAACGCUGGCGGUAGGCCUAACACAUGCAAGUCGAACGGCAGCACAGUAAGAGCUUGCUCUUACGGGUGGCGAGUGGCGGACGGGUGAGGAAUACAUCGGAAUCUACUUUUUCGUGGGGGAUAACGUAGGGAAACUUACGCUAAUACCGCAUACGACCUACGGGUGAAAGCAGGGGAUCUUCGGACCUUGCGCGAUUGAAUGAGCCGAUGUCGGUUUAGCUAGUUGGCGGGGUAAAGGCCCACCAAGGCGACGAUCCGUAGCUGGUCUGAGAGGAUGGUCAGCCACACUGGAACUGAGACACGGUCCAGACUCCUACGGGAGGCAGCAGUGGGGAAUAUUGGACAAUGGGCGCAAGCCUGAUCCAGCCAUACCGCGUGGGUGAAGAAGGCCUUCGGGUUGUAAAGCCCUUUUGUUGGGAAAGAAAAGCAGCAGGUUAAUACCCCGCUGUUCUGACGGUACCCAAAGAAUAAGCACCGGCUAACUUCGUG
Molecule: ribosomal RNA, 492 nt
Filed under: uncultured bacterium
Lineage: Bacteria
Description: partial 16S ribosomal RNA
Rfam family: Bacterial small subunit ribosomal RNA
Source: RNAcentral